Molecule: ribosomal RNA, 406 nt
Filed under: uncultured bacterium
Lineage: Bacteria
Description: bacterial SSU rRNA
Rfam family: Bacterial small subunit ribosomal RNA
Source: RNAcentral
UGGGGAAUAUUGGGCAAUGGGGGCAACCCUGACCCAGCGACGCCGCGUGAGGGAAGAAGGCCUUCGGGUCGUAAACUUCUUUUGUACGUGAAGAAGCAGAUGACGGUAGCGUACGAAUAAGUCCCGGCUAACUACGUGCCAGCAGCCGCGGUAAUACGUAGGGGACGAGCGUUGUCCGGAAUUACUGGGCGUAAAGGGCGCGCAGGCUGCGCGUCGAGUCGGCUGUUAAAGAUCCGGGCUUAACCCGGUGAAGCGGUCGAGACCGACGAGCUGGAGUGCUGCAGAGGCAAGUGGAAUUCCCGGUGUAGCGGUGAAAUGCGUAGAUAUCGGGAAGAACACCGGUGGCGAAGGCGACUUGCUGGGCAGCAACUGACGCUGAGGCGCGAAAGCCAGGGGAGCAAACGGG